Molecule: long non-coding RNA, 1336 nt
Organism: Homo sapiens (human)
Lineage: Eukaryota; Metazoa; Chordata; Mammalia; Primates; Hominidae
Source: Ensembl
ACUUUAGUUCUAGGAAGUCAGCGUGAAACGCCUGAAGUUUUCUGCCUCCAGACUCUACUCUCCUGCCUCAAUUCUACUCUCUACUUUUAUAAGCUCGACUCACAUUUGAUGACAUAGAAGACUUAAUUUCCUCCUCAUGAUUAAUCUCUCAGUUGGAGAGUAUACACACUCUUACACAGAAUCCAGGACGAAAGCCCUCAUCAGAUGCUUACAUCAUGAUCUUGGACUUCCCAGCCUCCAGACUGAUGCUAUGGAAGAUCAGAAAAUAUAAAUUUAUGAACUGCUAUAAACUGUUAUUUUCUUCGUGAAGAUCAGCCUCCAGGUUCAUCACAUGACUCAGCUAAGAGAAAAUAUCCAGUGGCUCAUCGUUACCUGUGGGAGGAGGUCUGAACUCCAUGGCUUUGCAUUCAUGUUCUUGUUUGUCUCACUUCAACCUUCAUUCCCUCCAAGUCCUCGUUGUCCUCCCAGGGUUCCUCUGCUACAGCCGGGGGAGUCUGAUCCCUGCUUCCUAAAUUUCUCUGAAGCUUAUCUACACCUAUGUUUUUGCUCCACUCUUCUUUCUCCUUUAUACACCAAUUAUUCUCCUGUUUUAUCCAAAUUAUUCCCUUCUGCAAGACUCACAUCAAGUACGAUUUCUUUCUAGAUGGCUCUAACUCAGUUAUUGUUAUCUAAUUGCACACAUAUCUCUGAUUAUUGGCAUUAGUCAUUUGGAAAUUUAUUGUAUGCUGCUUUGUUUUAUUAUUUCUCUUUUUCACCUGCCUUGUGCUUACUUCCCCAAUUGGACUACAGAUUCUUUAAGGAUUAGAAGGCUAAUAUACCUACUUUUUGUCUCUAUAGCAUCUAAAACAGUAAUCUGCAGAUAUUAGGUAUUCAGAAUAUAAUUCAAUCUAGAAUCAUUUGGGAAGUUUAAUUUUUAAAGAACUCUGAAUCAUUUUUCUCAAAACUGUCAUAUAAUGCUAAAUUUUCAUUUCAGGUUCUGAGAGAUUCUUUUCUUUUAAGCCCAGCAUUUAUGACUUUCAAAUUUUAAUAAAUAGAACGCCCAAAGUUAGUCAACAGAAACGUCCUAAGUUAACGUGGGUGACCUAAGUUCCUUUGCUGUAUUUUGUACACGUUUUAUAUAUUGCAUCAAGAAAAGCAAAUGAUUGCUGAAAUGAGUAAUAAGGAGCUUCACUGGCUAGUCAAUCUUAUUCCGGAAGCAAAAACUUCCACGCAAGGCUCAUUUACAUGUGCACACUGCAAAAGGAAGUUUUGGGCAAAAUGUCUGCAGACUCUGUUCAACAUGCGUGUCCCACUUAACCACAUGAUCCUUAUAAAACCACCUAUAUCCGUUCUCAUA